This 303-nucleotide ribosomal RNA is filed under the name uncultured bacterium. RNAcentral describes it as "partial 16S ribosomal RNA". It matches the Rfam family "Bacterial small subunit ribosomal RNA", at positions 507 to 809 of the family's 1533-position model. The record is from RNAcentral.
AGCAGCAGCCGCGGUAAGACAGAGGAUGCAAGCGUUAUCCAGAAUGAUUGGGCGUAAAGCGUCUGUAGGUGGCUUUUCAAGUCCGCCAUCAAAUCCCAGGGCUCAACCCUGGAUAGGCGGUGGACACUACCAAGCUGGAGUACGGUAGGGGCAAAGGGAAUUUCCGGUGGAGCGGUGAAAUGCGUUGAGAUCGGAAAGAACACCAACGGCGAAAGAACUCUGCUGGGCCGACACUGGCACUGACAGACGAAAGCUAGGGGAGCAAAUGGGAUUAGAUACCCCGGUAGUCCCUGUCUCUUAUAA